Molecule: long non-coding RNA, 2096 nt
Organism: Monodelphis domestica (gray short-tailed opossum)
Lineage: Eukaryota; Metazoa; Chordata; Mammalia; Didelphimorphia; Didelphidae
Source: RefSeq, a predicted model, not a curated record
AAUUCAUCAACAUUUUAGCAGUCAAUACCUAAUAAUAAAGCUUCAAUUUUUAUUAAAAUCUUGGCCAUAGAGUCACUUUUUUCAGACCCACUUUAAGUCUCUUUCAGAUCCUGAAUUUAUGACUCCAUCUAAUUCUCACAACUGCUCUGGAAGAAAGAACCCUUUAUCAACAACUGAAAAGAUAUACCUAAGAGUCCAUAGAGAAGACACAAAGAAUCAAAAGCUUAGAGGUGACUUAAUCUCUCCCAAAUGUCGUUCACCAAUUAUUCCAGCAUGUAAUGAGAAUAAUGAAGGGCUUAGAAGUGAAGAUUUCAUUCAAUGACCCCACAAAUCUUAAAAUUGUCUAUACCCCCUACAUGGACCAACAGAAGUAGAGAAGAGCAUAUAGUAAACCAUUUGUCCAAAAACAGUAUGCAUCAAAUUACCAUUUGUAUUACAAUAACAGAAAAAGUAAAAAGCCUCAUUUUUUAACACUUUGUGGUCAGUAAUGAUGCAUUUGGAGAGCAUAACAUUUGCAUUUGUACAGGGAGGCAGCUUGUAGGAAGGAACAAAUAUCCUAGAUUGCAAGUUUUAAUAUCCACAAUUGCUGAUGGAAAUUUGGAGUGGAGAGAAGAAAUUGAAGGGAGAAAGAAGCCCGUCACUGGAGCAGCCUCCUUGAAGGAUAUGAGACUUCUAGCUUGCCUUUCCCCCUUUAUUCCUAAAGAAAGAAGAAAGAUAUCUCACAAGAAUUGCUGCUCUGGAAGAUAGAGGGAGAACUGAAAAAAAACUUCAUACUUUCCUUAUGUAUAGUUGAUACUUAAUAAAUGGUUGUUGAAUAUAAGGUUGAGGCCAGAGACUAUUGCACUUAAGUCUUUGUAUAAUUAGCCCCUAGCAAUGUGCCUGGCACUUAAUAAAUGCUUUGUUAAUUAUCAGUUGAAUAAAUGAAUGGGGCAGCUCAGAAGGGGAUACAGAAUGUCACACCUAUUCUAAAGAGAAAUUCAUUUCACUCCAAUAACUAUAUCCCACUGAUCCAAGCUCCUGGGCUUAUGAUGUGGACUGCGUUGUGAGAGAUGGAAAAGGGUGUUCAUAAGUAGGACUCAACAAGCUUUUGUUUGAUCUCUGAUCAUCAGUAUUAAUCCCUGUUGUGUACAACUAGCAUCCUUAGCCUCCAUGAUAAUCACUUCCCAGAUUGCCAACAUGCUGCUUUCCCAGGUCAAAUGCUCCCAUCUUCCUAUUGCUUAAACUUCAUUUUGCCUUGCUGUUAAUUCUGUGUUUGAUGCCUCUACCCCUAUUAGGAAAAUACAGUUGCUUUAAGUUUGUUACAGAACUGACCCAUUAUUAACAUUUUCCUAAUCCAUACUAGCCAACCCAACUUUCUGUUGUAGAGAACAUCAGUGAAUGAAUGGAGGAAUCUCUAGCUUCAAAUACAUCUGCAAGCUUAUGAAGACACUAAAGGACACAUUUAGAGGAGGAUGCCAGUGUGAAGGAGUAGCUUCCAUUUCUGAAAGGACAUCUGACUCACAUACACCUGACUGACAUAGAAGGCAAGAAGAUCACCAAGUGACUCGUUUGCCCCUAUGUCCAAGGAGGUCAGGGUGAUUGGGAGAUUUUAUCAUCUGUCCUCACCACUCCACAGUCCAGAGGCUGACAGGGGGCCCAGGCUGUUAUCUUCAAGAUCACAGCACUGAAAAAAAACUCUGAACUUAUCAGCUGGAGCAUGAAUAAGGUUAGGAUGUGCAUGGAGGUAGAAGACUGAAAACAGAGACCUAAUUUGAUGGAAAAAGAGAUGAAAAUAAAUACAAGAGAGCAUGUUCUCAUGGGAGGCAACAUGAUAUAGUGGAGAGCUUGACAUCAGGAGAUGUGGGUUCAAAUCCUGACUGCUACCUAUAUGACCUCAAGCUUAUCCUCUGCUCCUCAUGUUUUGAAGCGAUCUCUAAAGCUUUUUCCAGCUCUAAAGCUAUAUUCUUUUCUAAAAUUUAAAUCCUAUAUUCCUUAUCAUAUUAAUUGAAAACAAUGUAGCUCACUGGUUUGUUUGGGAAGCUGACUGGUACAUUACUGUGACUGAUUAAUUUACUUUCUAUGAUUUAAAGAUUCUGAUAAUAAAGAAAGCUAUGUGU